Molecule: long non-coding RNA, 2226 nt
Filed under: Sus scrofa (pig)
Lineage: Eukaryota; Metazoa; Chordata; Mammalia; Artiodactyla; Suidae
Description: lncRNA (ENSSSCG00050039556.1)
Source: RNAcentral
ACUCAGACCUGGGCCAGGACUCAGCCCUGGGGUGUGCAGGGGGGUGGCUCAGGCAGGUUGAAGAUGCCUGGACCUCGGCCUGGGUUCCCCACUCUGCCCUUCCCACCCUCCCCAGCCUUAGACUUUGGUCCAAACCUCACUGUGCCCCCACCCCAGGGACUUGGAGAUCCAGGAGUGCCACUUCCUGGAUAAGGAAGAUUGGGGCCCCCAGCAGACCUCGAAGGAAAUGAGCCAUUUGCAUAAUAUCUGCAUGAGGCUCCGGGAGUCGCUGAGCUCUAUCCAAGCAGACAACCUGGCUCUGGGGGAGAAGCUGCAAGACCUGGUGAGACCCUCAGCCCAGGCCCCCUGCCUGUGUUUUGCCUCCUCCCCCGGCUCCCAGCCCAGCUCCUGUGCUGGCAGGUCGCAGGCAGUCCUGCCUGGGGUCGGCUGCCCACCUCUGGCCCUGGCAACCCCUUGUUGCAGCCCAACUCCUUGUAUAUGAGCCUAAAGGAGAAAGCGAAGUGCAUCCUGGAGCGAGAGAGCGCCGUGGAGGAGGGAGCCCAGGGCGGCCAGGAGGGGGCGCUGUGCCAGGUACCGGGUCCUCCCCCAGUCCUGGGUGGGGAGAGAUGUGUUUGCCCCGCGUGGCUCACUCUGCUCCCCUUGCCGGCAGCCACCCGGCUCCCAGAAGGCCGAACUCGUCACCCUGCAGCCUGACACUCCCCGAGAUCACGGAGACCGAUGUCCGCCCUAGCCGGGACACCCCCCGGGAAGCCGUUCAGGCCGCUCCUCUCCCCCUCCCGCAGUAAACUUCUCCGCAGCUGGGUCGCGGCUCCCCGCCUGUCUGUGGGCCCUGGGAACCGGGAGGCGCAGGCACCAAGCAUGGUCCCUAGGCCAUCCUGUCGCAUCCCCCUCCCACAUCCGUUGGCUGGCCCCGGCUGCCCCGAGGAGGGUCCAGGCUGGUUGGUAUCAGUCUCAAAAUCAGCGUCCCGGUGAUAAGGGCUGGGGUGGGACUGGGAGGGGGCCGCACCCACGGCUGGGAGCUGGAGAGGACGGAAGCACCAGGUCUAACUCCAAAGGGCAGAAGACUAGGGAGGGGCGGGAAGACAAGUCUCUUCCUCUUUGUCAGCCACGGGGGAGGGGGUAGUGAGACCCCCCCUCCCCAAGGGCCCAACACCCAAACAAUUUCAGGCCUGGAGAUGCUUCUAGAAUUUGAAUUCCUACUCCCACCUCCAGCCAGGGUCUCCCAGGGCCUCCCUGGAGACCUGCACCCCUCCACCAAUGGGGUGAUCCCUGUUCUGGGCCACAGAUCCAACGCCCCACCCAUCCAUAGGCCUGCAUAUCCAGCUGUGGCCACUGUGCCCUGGUCACCAUCAGGCCUUCAGGGCUUGUGCCCAUCAGCCUUGCUGCCCUCAGACUCUGACCAGCUCUGGGGAGCCUUUCUAGGCAUCCCCUGACUCCUGAUAAAACGAGAAAGAGACACAGAGACACGCAGAGAAUGUAUAGAUAGAAUAUUAAAACAAACUUAGAAAUUAUUCCCAUACAACUAGACAAGGAGCCUGCUUUAGAUUUUGUUUUUUUAACUUCCUAUUGAGGGAGCUGACAGCCAGCAAUGACAAAGCCAGUUUAAAGGUGGAGGAGUUCCUGUCGUGGCUCAGUGCUUGGCGAAUCCAACUAGGAACCAUGAGGUUGCAGGUUCGAUCCCUGGCCUCACUCAGUGGGUUAAGGAUCCGGCAUUGCCAUGAGCUGUGGUGUAGGUCGCAGAUGUGGCUUGGAUCCCGCAUUGCUCUGGCUGUGGUGUAAGCCAGCAGCUACAGCUCUGAUUAUACUCCUAGCCUGGGAACCUCCACAUGCUGUGGGUGCAGCCCUAGAAAAGACAAAAAAGAAAGAAAGAAAGAAAGAAAGAAAGAAAGAAAGGAAGGAAAGCAAGAAAGAGAAAGAAAGAAAAAGAAAGGAAGAAAGAAAGAAAGGUGGAUACAAGAAAAAUAACACGCAGGAGUUCCCAUUGUGGCUCAGUGGGUUAAGAACCCAACAUAGUGUCUCUGAGGAUGCAGGUUUGAUCCCUGGCCUCACUCAGUGGGUUAAGGAUCCAGCAUUGCCACAAUCUGUGGUGUAGGUCACAGCUGCAGCUUGGAUCCAGCUUUGCCGUGGCUGUAAUGUAGGCUGGCAGCUGCAGCUCUGAUUUGACCCUUAGCCCGGGAACUUGCAUAUGUUGCAGCACGUGAGGUCAUAAAAGGAAAAAAAGAAAAA